GAACAUUAUGUACUAUGAAAUCCUACAUGAAAGAUAACGAAUGACUUUCUCAGAUCGUUCCAAUUAUUUCCAGAAGAAACACUCAGUUUCACUCAACCACCACCCGGUAACCUAUUUGUACAUUAUGGCAGAGCUCAUAAUUAAGAACAUUUUGUCAGUUUUCUUAAGAGAAGGAUAACGAAAUUAUAUAUAUAUAAAAAGUGCUCAUAAGUCAUACCUGAGUGUGAUCAGUGAAAUGU
RNAcentral lists this unclassified non-coding RNA (239 nucleotides) under Hevea brasiliensis (rubber tree). Lineage: Eukaryota; Viridiplantae; Streptophyta; Magnoliopsida; Malpighiales; Euphorbiaceae. The record is from RNAcentral.